AUUGAACACUGGCGGCAUGCUUUACACAUGCAAGUCGAACGGCAGCGCGGGCUUCGGCCUGGCGGCGAGUGGCGAACGGGUGAGUAAUGCAUCGGAACGUGCCCAGUAGUGGGGGAUAGCCCGGCGAAAGCCGGAUUAAUACCGCAUACGACCUGAGGGUGAAAGCGGGGGACCGAAAGGCCUCGCGCUAUUGGAGCGGCCGAUGUCGGAUUAGCUAGUUGGUGGGGUAAAGGCUUACCAAGGCGACGAUCCGUAGCUGGUCUGAGAGGACGACCAGCCACACUGGGACUGAGACACGGCCCAGACUCCUACGGGAGGCAGCAGUGGGGAAUUUUGGACAAAGGGGGCAACCCUGAUCCAGCCAUGCCGCGUGCGGGAAGAAGGCCUUCGGGUUGUAAACCGCUUUUGUUCGGGAAGAAAUCCUCUGGGCUAAUACCCCGGGGGGAUGACGGUACCGGAAGAAUAAGCACCGGCUAACUACGUG
RNAcentral lists this ribosomal RNA (484 nucleotides) under uncultured bacterium. RNAcentral's name for it is "partial 16S ribosomal RNA". It matches the Rfam family "Bacterial small subunit ribosomal RNA", at positions 29 to 507 of the family's 1533-position model. The record is from RNAcentral.